UGCAUUUGAUGUUAGACCCAUCCGCAGU
RNAcentral lists this non-coding RNA (28 nucleotides) under Bombyx mori (domestic silkworm). The record is from RNAcentral. Lineage: Eukaryota; Metazoa; Arthropoda; Insecta; Lepidoptera; Bombycidae.